CCUACGGGAGGCAGCAGUGGGGAAUAUUGGACAAUGGGCGAAAGCCUGAUCCAGCAAUGCCGCGUGAGUGAUGAAGGCCUUAGGGUUGUAAAGCUCUUUUACCAGGGAUGAUAAUGACAGUACCUGGAGAAUAAGCUCCGGCUAACUCCGUGCCAGCAGCCGCGGUAAUACGGAGGGAGCUAGCGUUGUUCGGAAUUACUGGGCGUAAAGCACACGUAGGCGGCUAAUUCAAGUCAGAGGUGAAAGCCCAGGGCUCAACCCUGGAACCUGCCUUUGAAACUAGAUAGCUGGAAUCUUGGAGAGGUCAGUGGAAUUCCGAGGUGUAGAGGUGAAAUUCGUAGAUAUUCGGAAGAACACCAGUGGCGAAGGCGACUGACUGGACAAGUAUUGACGCUGAGGUGCGAAAGCGUGGGGAGCAAACAGGAUUAGGAUACCCUGGUAGUCCACGCCGUAAACGAUGAUAACCUAGCUGUCCGGACACUUGGUGUUUGGGUGGCGNNGCUACGCAUUAGUUAUCCGCCGUGGGAGGUACGGUCGCGAGAGUUAAACGUUAAAGGUAAGUUAGACGGACGUGAGACGUGCCGACGGCGACGACGAGGGAGGUAGGG
This 608-nucleotide ribosomal RNA is filed under the name uncultured bacterium. Its description in RNAcentral is "bacterial SSU rRNA". The stretch from base 1 to 521 matches the Rfam family "Bacterial small subunit ribosomal RNA", at positions 338 to 873 of the family's 1533-position model. The record is from RNAcentral.